Molecule: ribosomal RNA, 514 nt
Filed under: uncultured bacterium
Lineage: Bacteria
Description: bacterial LSU rRNA
Rfam family: Bacterial large subunit ribosomal RNA
Source: RNAcentral
AGCGAAAGCGAGUCUUAAAUGGGCGACUAAGUUAGAUGGAUCAGACCCGAAACCAGAUGAUCUAGGCAUGAGCAGAAUGAAGGUUGGGUAACACCAACUGGAGGUUCGAACCCACACCUGUUGAAAAAGGUCGGGAUGACUUGUGCCUAGGGGGUGAAAGGCCAAUCAAAUCUGGAGAUAGCUGGUUCUCCGCGAAAGCUAUUUAGGUAGCGCCUCGGACGUAUCCUCCUGGGGGUAGAGCACUGCAUGGAUGAUGGGGGCCCACAGCCUUACUGAGUCUAAGCAAACUCCGAAUACCAGGAAGGACUAUCCGGGAGACACACGGCGGGUGCUAACGUCCGUCGUGGAGAGGGAAACAGCCCAGAUCACCAGCUAAGGUCCCUAAGCGUGUGCUAAGUGGGAAAGGAUGUGGAGUUGCAUUGACAACCAGGAGGUUGGCUUAGAAGCAGCCACCCUUUAAAGAGUGCGUAAUAGCUCACUGGUCAAGUGAUUCCGCGCCGACAAUGUAGCGGGG